This 492-nucleotide ribosomal RNA is filed under the name uncultured bacterium. Its description in RNAcentral is "partial 16S ribosomal RNA". It matches the Rfam family "Bacterial small subunit ribosomal RNA", at positions 29 to 507 of the family's 1533-position model. The record is from RNAcentral.
AGUGAACGCUGGCGGUAGGCCUAACACAUGCAAGUCGAACGGCAGCACAGUAAUAGCUUGCUCUUACGGGUGGCGAGUGGCGGACGGGUGAGGAAUACAUCGGAAUCUACUUUUUCGUGGGGGAUAACGUAGGGAAACUUACGCUAAUACCGCAUACGACCUACGGGUGAAAGCAGGGGAUCUUCGGACCUUGCGCGAUUGAAUGAGCCGAUGUCGGAUUAGCUAGUUGGCGGGGUAAAGGCCCACCAAGGCGACGAUCCGUAGCUGGUCUGAGAGGAUGAUCUGCCACACCGGAGAUGAGAAACGGUCAAGACUCCUACGGGAGGCAGCAGUGGGGAAUAUUGGACAAUGGGCGGAAGACUGAUCCAGCAAUGCCGCGUGGGUGAAGAAGGACUUCGGGUUGUAAAGACAUUUUGUUGGGAAAGAAAAGCGGUAGCUUAAUACAACGAUGUACUGACGGUACCCAAAGAAUAAGCACCGGCUAACUUCGUG